AACGAACGCUGGCGGCAGGCCUAACACAUGCAAGUCGAGCGCCCAGCAAUGGGAGCGGCGGACGGGUGAGUAACGCGUGGGAAUUUUUCCUGGAGUACGGAACAACCGAGGGAAACUUCGGCUAAUACCGUAUGAUGCCGAGAGGCCAAAGAUUUAUCGCUCUGGGGUGAGCCCGCGUCAGAUUAGGUAGUUGGUGGGGUAAAGGCCUACCAAGCCUGCGAUCUGUAGCUGGUCGAGAGGACGAUCAGCCACACUGGGACUGAGACACGGCCCAGACCCCUACGGGAGGCAGCAGGUGGGGGAAUCUUGGCGCAAGUGGGCGAAAGCCUGACGCAGCCAUGCCGCGUGAGUGAAGAAGGUCUUAGG
This 366-nucleotide ribosomal RNA is filed under the name uncultured bacterium. RNAcentral describes it as "bacterial SSU rRNA". It matches the Rfam family "Bacterial small subunit ribosomal RNA", at positions 29 to 421 of the family's 1533-position model. The record is from RNAcentral.